AGCGAAUUUGAAACCCUCGGGAUUGUAAUUUGAAGAUUUGGUAUUGGAGAAAGCUAACCCAAGUUGCUUGGAAUAGUACGUCAUAGAGGGUGACAACCCCGUCUGGCUAACCGUUCUCCAUGUAUUGCCUUAUCAAAGAGUCGAGUUGUUUGGGAAUGCAGCUCAAAGUGGGUGGUAAACUCCAUCUAAAGCUAAAUACUGGUGAGAGACCGAUAGCGAACAAGUACUGUGAAAAAGGUGAAAAGAACUUUGAAAAGAGAGUGAAAUAGUAUGUGAAAUUGUUGAUAGGGAAGGAAAUGAGUGGAGAGUGGCCGAGGUUUCAGCCGCCCCUCGUGGGCGGUGUACUGGACGCCGAGUCAUCGAUAGCGAGAGGGUUACAAAUGGGAGCGCUUCGGGCGUUCUCCCCUAACACUGCCACCGACUCCUGC
This 428-nucleotide ribosomal RNA is filed under the name Yarrowia lipolytica. RNAcentral's name for it is "eukaryotic LSU rRNA". It matches the Rfam family "Eukaryotic large subunit ribosomal RNA", at positions 106 to 558 of the family's 3401-position model. Lineage: Eukaryota; Fungi; Ascomycota; Dipodascomycetes; Dipodascales. The record is from RNAcentral.